RNAcentral lists this ribosomal RNA (774 nucleotides) under uncultured bacterium. Its description in RNAcentral is "bacterial SSU rRNA". It matches the Rfam family "Bacterial small subunit ribosomal RNA", at positions 8 to 796 of the family's 1533-position model. The record is from RNAcentral.
AGAGUUUGAUCAUGGCUCAGAAUCAACGCUGGCGGCGUGCCUCAGACAUGCAAGUCGAACGGUUAAGACUUCCUUCGGGAAGUGCAUAAAGUGGCGCACGGGUGAGUAACACGUAAGUAAUCUACCUUCGAGUGGGGAAUAACGUCCGGAAACGGACGCUAAUACCGCAUAAUGCAGCGGCAUCGUAAGAUGACAGUUGUUAAAGGAGCAAUUCGCUUGAAGAGGAGCUUGCGGCAGAUUAGCUAGUUGGUAAGGUAAUGGCUUACCAAGGCUACGAUCUGUAACCGGUCUAAGAGGACGGUCGGUCACACUGACACUGAAUAACGGGUCAGACUCCUACGGGAGGCAGCAGUCGGGAAUUUUGGGCAAUGGGCGAAAGCCUGACCCAGCAACGCCGCGUGAAGGAUGAAGUAUUUCGGUAUGUAAACUUCGAAAGAAUAGGAAGAAUUAAUGACGGUACUAUUUAUAAGGUCCGGCUAACUACGUGCCAGCAGCCGCGGUAAUACGUAGGGACCAAGCGUUGUUCGGAUUUACUGGGCGUAAAGGGCGCGUAGGCGGCAUGACAAGUCACUUGUGAAAUCUCCGGGCUUAACUCGGAACGGUCAAGUGAUACUGUCGCGCUAGAGUGCGGAAGGGGCAAUCAGAAUUCUUGGUGUAGCGGUGAAAUGCAGAUAUCAAGAGGAAUACCUGAGGUGAAGACGGGUUGCUAGGCCGACACUGACGCUGAAGCGCGAAAGCCAGGGGAGCAAACGGGAUUAGAUACCCUAGUAGUCC